GAAUGAAUGGAUAAAUAAAUAAAUAAACGAAAACUGAGGGGGAGCCAAGGAGUCCUAAGAGCAAUAUCCACUAUGAAUUUUAUUACAGGAGUUCAGGAAAGAAAAUAAUUGUUUACAAGAUCAGUAUCACAAGGACUUGGAGAAUGUCCAGGGGAGCAGAUACGGGGGAAAUGAUGAAUAGCUUGGAAACACUUGAGCUGGGAAGUUUUCUUCUCGUUACAGCAAUGCUCCCUUAGAUGCAGUUCUCUCUUGAGCUGAAACAGAACCGUACUUUGUAGCUGCUACUUAAGUCCUCCAUAAAUUCUCCAAGCUUUCUGAGCGGAGCAGAGCCUCCACCACGGCAGCCAAGGACCUGGCCCUGUCGGUGAGCUCUAAAAGCUGGCUCCAGGUUCAGGUUUCCCUAAGGCCGCAAAAGUAGUUCAUCUGUGGUUGCUCUGGUGGAUGCAGAAAGUCAGACCUCCAUAAUGAACCAAAAAAAGGCUUAAAGAAAAUCCUAGAACGUGUUUCUCUUCUCCAGAAAAAGAAAUAUUAAAAGAGAAUUGUAAAUAGCUGAAGUCUGUAAGAAACGGAAUAGCUGUUCCUCCGACGUCUCUGCAGCUUAACAAAAUGUUACAGCCCAGUGGAACAAGCACUUAAUUUCAGAAUCUGAAUCAACGUUUAUUGUGGCAAAGGAAAUGGUAUUUUUGUUAAAAGUAUGCUAUUCGUCAGGGGCUUUCCUGUAUAUGGCUUUUUUAUUCAGCCAAAGUGAGGCUUUCAUUUUAUUUCUGGUCUCGCAAAUACAGAUUUUCUCUCUGCUUGCAUUUUGAAGGAGUCAGAGAGCUUUUGAAAGGUCAUUCAUGUACAUUCAUUAUGAGCUCUGCUACGAAUUCUGUAUAUUUAGCUCACGGACAAAUUGAGUGGCCACUUACAGCACAGGUCUAGAUGGAAAAUGGCCUUGAUUGAUACCUGGGUAACCAUGGGUUUAGAGAAAUACUGUUUAGGACCAGAUGGUCUUGAAUGGCAGCCCAUGGUCCUUCUCAGGUAUUCUUGUGGCAAAGCUUUACUGCCUCAGGGUGAACGAAUGUGAACACUGAUGCAAUUACAGGUGCAUAUGACAAUAAAGCCAAAGAACUGUAAUUUGAUCAAUAAAGUAUACAUAUCUUGUUGAUACAAAAUGUGACCCAGAUUGGCAGAACUCACUGGCCAGCGAGCAAUGGUCUCCUUAGCAGCACAGUGAAAGUACCUCUGCCUUGUGCUGCUCUAGAGAGGCCUGCCUGGAUAACGCCUGACACCCAGCCCUGGUUGGACCAGGAGAGUGGUGGUGGGCACCAAACAAAAAGGAGGUGAUGGAAGCUGAGAUCUGUGCAAUAAGACAACAAAGCUCAACAUUUCUUUUAACAUGAUCAGCAGGGAGAGGGCAGCGGGUAAGAGUACAAUGGGAAAGUCAGAGGAGAGAUUCUGAACUAAAAACAAAAUAGAAAGGAAAAGUGCUGCGUGGGAGAGAGGAAGGGAAAGAUGCUAGACAGCAGAUAGAAAGGGGAAAUCAGUGCAACAGAGCUGUGGCUGAUGGAGUUACAUUGGUUGUGUAGUGGGAAAUGAGAAAAAGGACAGUAAAUGAGUUUUGUAAUAGGAAUGGAGAACCACAGACAGAACAAAGGAAGAAGACAGGGAACAGAGACAGAAAAUGUUAUUUUAAGAAAAAGGAAUAAGUAAAGGGAAACUGAAAGAAGGUCAAACAGUUAUUGGUGUCAGGAACAAAAAUGAUCAAUGUGAAAGCGUAUAGAAAUAUGAAUACGUGAAGACAGUGGAAAAAAUGGAGAGAGGUUAAUCAGAAUAUCACACAAUUAUAUGGGAACGGGGAGAGGUGUAAGAACAGACAAGAGAGGAUCAACAGUAAGAAAUCACACAGGAUAAGAUAUCUGGGUUUGCAGUUCACUGUAAUGGUUUGGCACUCAAUCAGCUGGCUAUUAAAGUACUGUGACUGCUGAGUCUGAAAGGGGUUCACUUCUGCCUUUUCACAUUUGGGUAUGAAAUGACCCCAUGACUAACUGCAGACAAUGCUGGGAAGGCGCGCUCUGAGGUGGCAGAAGGGGAGAGUUCCCCAUGGGAAGAAGGAGCAGUUUCUUCCCAAAAAGCUCCACUUGGGGGCUUCAGCUCAAAGUCAAGGCUAAGCUUUCUGUAAUGGCUCUUUAACAGGAGCUUGCACAGGAAGGAGUUUUGUAAUCGAUAGACCUCAAUGCAUUUACAUAUUGCUGCAGAAAUACUAAUUUGGAACAGGAGGCACGCAGCAACAGAGACACUCAGCUGCUCUUCCUGUAUGCUCAACUCCAGCAGACCAAAGUGAGCUGGAGGCAACAGAUGUCAGGUCAGCACUAAGUUAUCUGUUGUGCCAUUGGUUGGACCGCUUUCAUUUCCUCAUUGGAGCUGCUGCUUUUCUAAAUAAGGAUUUUGGUGGGCAGUGACUCGGGUAGCAUCACCUGGUCAGUAUGGUGAAAUCACUCAAUGUAGCCCACUUGCUUUCAUUUCCAAGCACUGAUUGUGGCCCAUGGUGUGUCUUUGUGCCUUCUGCAGGAGCAGCUCCCUCCCAAGCACCUUCUGGUCGAGAUCCCCAGCUGCCAUCUCCGGAAAGUGGGGCCAGCUGCAGCCACCCCAGGUCUCACCGAGUUGGAAAGAGCUGAGAUGGAGUUGCUGAGAGGUCUGACUUAGGGCAUGUUUUCUUCCCAUGGGGAAGCUCUCUUGCUCAAUCCCAUGCUGCACUCGUUCCACCAUGUGUGCAUAAGCACUCAGAGAAAUAGAUCCUUGAAGGUUCCCCAAAGAAAAUGAAUUAUUUACCCAUUAUUUACACUCUUGCCAAGCACCUUACUACUCAACUAUGGCAGUGUGUGUGCUUUCUCUUAUUCUCCUGCUGGAGUGCUCCUAUGUAGGAUUAAUUUACUCUUCAGUGAAGCAGAAAGAUGUUGGCAGAAUAACUGAUUUGAUAGCUCAGUGAUUCUGUCAUGCUCUUGUUAUGCAGGGGACCAAGUCUUCUCUCUGGCCUAAAAAAGCAUUACUCCUGACAGUCUAGGAGACACUGCAGGCCAUUUGCCUCCUACCCCUAGAAGCACCACAGGGACAACUAGGUGAAAAAAAAUUAUUAUUAUUAUUAUAUUUUGGUGGCAAGAACAAAACUACCAAAAAUGAAAUGUUUUAAUUUGUCUGCAUUGGAAAGGGAAAAAAAGCUCUGAUGAGAUACAAGUUUCAUCUCAGAACUUGGAACAGUAUGGUUUUUAUCUUCAUUUGAGGCUAUUUUUAACUGAGAAUGUUCCUCUAAAAUAAUGCUUAUGAAGAGGUUUGAUUCUCUUUAAGUCUCUUCAAUUUUGAGCUGAGUGUUUAUUUAUGAACUGCUAGCAAAUAAUAUAAAAUAAAAUAAAAGCUACACAGCUUUCCAUCAAUGCAAGAAUUAUUCCAAUUCCAAGAAUUACACAUUUUUUCACUGAAUGGCAUGACACUGAUUUGAAUGAGAGAUGUUAAAUUGAAAAAAAAAAAAAAAAAAAAAAGAAAGAAAGAAAAGGAGAAGGAACUGCUGCAGGCUGUGGAUGAAUUACUCAAUUGAGUAAGGACUAGAAGAGCAAAACACAGAAGAGCAAAACACAGACAGGGACGCAGAAGGUUGCUGUAUAAUGCACUUAAUGACUGAGACCUUAUCAGUGCCAAACCAGGAAUUCAGAUCCAGUGACAAAGUCAGCAAAUACCUCGCAGUACCAUGCUAAAUCUUCACAUCCAGCUCGAAAAGACCAGCAAUUUAUAGAAAGGGCUCAGACUGUCUCAAUGUUUCAGUAGUUGUUACAAGCUGUAAUACUUAGGAACAUUACUGCACAGCUGCAGUGUGUUUCUGAAAAAGGGGAAGGGAUGCUUCUCUGUGAAACAGUCAUUUAGCAGCUGGUUUAUUACUGGUUUUGCUAUCAGUUACCUUUCUCUGCAGGCAAAUCACCAUUUCCCUUUGAGAUGAAUAAGGAUGUAUCCCAGUACCUACUAAAGGUAAAAGGGGUUUUCUUUCCCUGCUUUCAGUGGAUCUCCUGGUGAGCACUGUGGAGAUAAAGCUUUGAUGUGUUAGGCUGUCAAUAUUUUUAACCGGCCAUGUUGAUAAGACUGCUGCUGAACCUCUGUAGUAUUUCGUAGCAGGAAGACAGAAAUGAUUUCUCCAGACUGACUUCUCUUCUGGGUACCACAGCCACAAAAGCAUUCGGAGUGAGUUAUUCAAGACCUCAUUAGACUAAACUGCCUACACUUAUUUGCUGCAUACAAGAUUCAGGAGCCGAUAUCUCAAAUGCUGUCAAUAACUAUAGAUCAGGGUGCGCACACACACAUGUACACUAUUAUGUUAUGGUUAGAGAGUACAGUGGGGAACAGAUAAGCACAAAAACAAAAAUUAAGAAAAAUUUUCAUAUAUCAAACAAACAAACAAACAAGCAAAAACAUUGAUCUUACUGUCCAUAAUUAAAUCUGAAUGAUUCCAAGAUGCUACUAAAGUGACCUGGAUUUUCAUCCCAAUCAGCUGACUAGCACAGUUUAUGUGUAAUAACUCUCAGACUUCCUUUGCUCAAAGUUUCCAGCAUUAACAAAAAAAAUACUCUGGUCUGAAACAUACAUAAAUAUAGAAAUAUCUGCUACAAAUGUAUCUGAAACAGCCAUAGACCCAGGCCUUAUUAAAUUAUUAAAUUUCUCCCCAGUUUUCUUUCCCACUCUUUGAGUGGUAAAGUGGUCUCCAAGUAGAAGUCAGUCGUGAGUAAAAUGUUGGGAAGAUGCAUCCAGCUGACAAAGCACCCCCAAGAAAAGGUAAAGGAAAAGAAACAACAAAAUUUGUCUAAUCAGACCCCAGAAGCUCCAGUUAAUUCUGGAAAACGCCUGAUGAAGACUUGUCAGAAUAAGGCUAUGGACUGUCUAUAUAAGGCUAUGGCUGACAAUGCUCAGGUCAUUCAUUCAAGCAAUGAAACCAGUUCAAGGAAGACAGUUAUGACAAAUACAAGUAGAUUAAUCAUUUCAGUGACACACUCACUGCUUUAGGCUCAUUGCAGCUUAACCUAGCAGAGCUGCAGGAGGCCUCAGGACUCCAAAGUGUGAGCAGAAAGCCCAGCAGUUUUGGAGGUGUUGUGCUGGAGGUGGCACGUGUGGUGAAAGCUGUGAGAGUGGAGAAAAGCCGUGAUGAUGAGUGGAUGCUGGCUCCAGUGUGCUUCUAUAGCUUCUGUUACUGCUCUCUGGGGCUUAGGUUUGUUGGAAUUAUUUCUGUGGUUGCUUUCCAAAUGUUUCUGGAAAUUUCAGUACCAGCCUUGAGGCUCACUGGCUGGAUGUUGGCAUGACUCAAGAAGGAAAAAUGCAUCCAGAGUUUCCAGCGGGGACAUUAUUUUUGGUUUGGUUGUGAUAGAAUCUGAGGAAUAUAUGCAUUUUUUUUUUCCUGGUUUGGUAAGAGGCCUAAUUGUCAUGUCAUCCUGUGAAAUAAAUUCAAGAGAAAUAUAUGCAUCUGGAAAAGUGUACAAUGACAACCCCAGUAUCACCAGGACUUUGAAUUAACUGCAUUCUGUUGACAUAUUCCUUGAAAGCUCACAGGUAUAAAUUCCAAUACAAAACACAGGGAUCUGCAUUCUCUGCUCUGUUGUGCUCUCCAUGCAUUAAACAGACUGUGUUAAACAGGCAUUGGAAAUUGCAGGCAACUUCAAAAUACUACAAACUUGCUGUGACAUGCUAUGCGUUGGUAUUAUGGAUCCAGUAUUGCAUCUCAGUAAGAGCUAGAACAGGAAAAGAGUGAAAAGGAACAGAAGGGAGAUGAUGUGCUUCAGUCAUUCUUAAGUCACCCAAAUAAAUGCCUGUUGGUAUCACUGCCAUUAAUCCCCCUCGGCUGGUCUAACCAGGGACAGAGGAGAUUCAAAGACAUACAGUGAAGUUCAAGGCACUUCAUUUCAUUUGGUGGAAAUUGUAUGUAGUUGUUUACGUAGAUCUGGACCUUAAUGUUUUUUGGUGAUUGUUUUAUAAAUAUGUGCAGGCACUUCCAAAACAAACCAGGGAGGUGACUGGAGUAAUUUCUUCUGCAGUACAUUUAGAUUCAGAGCACUCUGCUGAUGGAGAAAGAGGGAAAUCAGUUACAAUACACCCUGCUCCCCAACAAAGACACUCCCAACACUGGAGACUGACUGGCUUUCCGAGAGGAGAUGAGGUCAGAUCCAAGUAGCAGUGAAGUUAUUUAGAGCUGAGAAAAGAAACACGUUUGAAUUUUAGGGUGGAAAUAGGUCUAUGUUGAGGUUUCAGAAGCAGGGCAACAUUCUCAGAGAGGUGAGAAAUGGAAAAUAUUUUCAUGGCAAUAGUUUGGGCAGGCUGAACAGACGGAGGGAGAAAAGUUGUGGUCAGAAGUGGCAAGAAUCUUGAAACAAUCAGUGCAUAGGCUAGUGUUGAGAUGGUGUUGAUUGGGAAGGGAGAGAGAAAACUGUUUUAAGAAAAACACAGUUGUAAGGUUUUAAAAACAAGUGGAGGAGGAAUGGAGUAACUGGUUUAGUGACCUAGUCAGCAGGGAGUGCUAACAGUAAGAGAAAAGUGAAUAAGAGUAAUGGUAUGUACAGCUCCCAAGCAGCUGGCCUUCACACCAGUCUAACUUUGUCAGAAUGCUAUUUCCUACCUCUGUGCACAUUGCAAUCAGCACAGUUCAGAAUACUCAGAGCAACAAAUACACACUUACUUACUGACCCAAAAAUGUAAAGUUAAAGGGAUUCCUUGAAUUAAGGGUAGUUCGCUGGAACAAAACUAUUUGAAUAAGGGAAGUUUUGGCUGCCUUCUCCAAUAGGUAUUUUGCAAAAUGCAAAUGAGUAGCAAAGAAACUCCUUUUCUUUCCUUUUGUUUUUGUUAUACUCAUUUGCAAGUGUGCCAGCAGUUCCCAGCAUUUCCUUACUGUUAUCUCCAGCUCCACAGAACAGCUACUGUUGUAGUGAUCUUGAUAAGGGUGCAGCUGGCAAUGUGACCACUACAUAUCAGUUGUAUGUAACGUGAUAUUUGUUCUCCCCGCUUACAUGGUACAAAAGGCUACUGUAAUGAUCUUUCCUGUUCUCUAUUUACAAAGCAAAUUAAAGAUGAUCCCAUCAGUCCUUUAACUUUACUUCCUUCCUUCUCUCCAGCCAUACCUUGGACCUGUUGUGCCCAGUGAUGCCUAUUGCUUCCACUGGGUCAUUUCAGGGCAACUGUUUUCAGCAGCCCGGCUCUGCAGUAUUCCCUUGCUUGCAACACAGAGAGAAAUUUCAGUGAGACAUCUGACCAAAUGAGAGCAUUUUCAGGUGUGGGGCAAAACCAACAAUUUCAGUGAUUAUUUUGCUCAUCAUCAUUAUUCAGAAUAAGGGUGGAUGAGCAACUGGAUGGCUUACAGAGCAAGGGAAGGAGGGCAGGCCUUUAUUUUACAGUCAUCCAAAUAUAGUCUAUGCUGACAGCGACUGAAGCAACCCUUACGUAAUGGUGCUUCACCAAGUGGAAUAAAAGCAGGGGUGAACUCAGCAUCACUCCUGUCAGACAGAAGGGAAUGGCAUACAUAAGCCUCCUUCACAAUUGGAAUUACCAGGUAGCUUUAUUGGAUGCCUAUUUGGAAAGAGUAAAUAGUAAAUAAUUAGCUCCUGCAGCUCUCUGAAGGCACAUAUGUGCAGAGUGCAACCUGAGAAGCUCAGAGCCUGCAGCGUGCUGGGUCUGGGUGGGACUGCCAGCCCCUGUUUUGGAGAUUCCUGCAGACAGAGUUGUUGCAAACUGCUUUCAAAAGCACUGUCUCACAGGAAAGCUCUUUAACUCAGCCUGAGGCUUUAUCAGGAUUACAGCACUAUCUCUCUUUCAAUGUAUUAGCACCAAAUAGAUUGCACAAACCAGCAGGAAGUUUUCACACUUGGAGCUCAAGCUUUUCUCCUGGAACUGAGGAAUAUGAUGGAUGUGCUGCCAUCAGUUUAUUUCAAGCAAAACUGAUAGCCAAUUGAGAGCACAGAAACCUGCUGAAUUAAAUUCAUCUCCUUAAUGGUAUUUAAGCUUUGGCACAAGUAAAUAUUUUUUUAGCAACUAUUAUGAAAUAUAGAGUCAUUAAUUCCCCCAACUAAUGAUUAGACAAAUGCAGUAUUUUCAAUUAGGAUUUAUGUAUACCUUUGCGAGUCAUUUUGUCUGUAAAUACAGACUUUGCAUUCAUCACUAGAAUUAUUCAGCCUUUUUUUUUUUUUUUUUAAUCUGCUUCUUUUUUCUUCUCAACAUGUUACCAUGCCUCUGUAGAAGAGCACCAAUGUCUUUACAGCAGGAGCUUCAUAGCUUAAGAUCAGCUUUUUCCCUUCCCUUGGCACCAGUUUGGAGAGAAGCAACCCCAUUCUCAUAGCCCACAUCCAGCUGGAGGUGGGUGAAUGGAGAUACACGAACAUUCAAGACCCUAUCUUCCAGCUGAUACAAGAUGUAGGUGUCUGCCUUCCCAUCAUGAUUUCUAUCCAGCAAAUCUUUCUCAUUCAGAAUUUUGUGGAAGUCUUUUCAUUUGUUAAAAAAAAAAAAAGAAAAAGAAAAAGAAAACAAAAAAAAAGGUAUUUCUCUUAAUUUUCAUCUGUGGUUCCUCCUUCCUAGACUAUGUACCACAAGGAAGAAAAAAGCACCUAAAUAGCUUGAUCAGCCUGGAAGGCUUCUCCCUCCCAGCCUUAAGUCACCCCGUAUUCACAACCUUGCUAAGUGUUUCUUCCUUUUUAUAACAAUACCAGAAGGCCCAGGAACAGGGUGUUGUGGGUUUUUUUUAACUUUCUUAGAUGGGUUCCCAAAAUAUCAUCAAAAUGAUCUCACAAACACAUAACCUACUUCCACACGCAAACAAGCAGGCUGGCUACAGAAUUAUCAGUGAAAAUUCCUUGUCCAGAGGUUCUAGUUCUCACUUCUGUUUUCCCUCAUGAAUUUGGCCAUCAGCAUUAAAUUCCAGAAUCAAUUAAAAUAUGAACCAACAGAGGAAACGAAGUAUAUAAACCCUGCAGAAAAUGGUGAUAGAGGUCGGUAGGCAAUAAUUAUAUACACUUACCAACAAGAGAGCUUGGUCUGUCAUACAGGAAAAAUGCUGAUCAGCGCAUUAUACAGAGAGCUGCUUGUAGCUAGAUGUACCCUCACUGUCAUUAGGUGCAGGUGGCAUCAGUCUCGCAGAAAGUUGGCAGUACACCGAGUAGAAAACCCA
Molecule: long non-coding RNA, 9157 nt
Filed under: Gallus gallus (chicken)
Lineage: Eukaryota; Metazoa; Chordata; Aves; Galliformes; Phasianidae
Description: lncRNA (ENSGALG00010005641.1)
Source: RNAcentral